UACAGAGACUGCGAGCGUUAUUCGGAUUCACUGGGCGUAAAGGGUGCGCAGGCGGCCGAGUGUGUGAGGCGUGAAAGCCCGGGGCUUAACCCCGGAAUUGCACCUCAAACUACACGGCUAGAGCAUUGGAGAGGGUAGCAGAAUUCACGGUGUAGCAGUGAAAUGCGUAGAUAUCGUGAGGAAUACCAGAGGCGAAGGCGGCUACCUGGACAAUUGCUGACGCUCAGGCACGAAAGCAUGGGGAGCGAACAGG
This 253-nucleotide ribosomal RNA is filed under the name uncultured bacterium. RNAcentral's name for it is "partial 16S ribosomal RNA". It matches the Rfam family "Bacterial small subunit ribosomal RNA", at positions 524 to 776 of the family's 1533-position model. The record is from RNAcentral.